ACUGCUCAGUAACACGUGGCUAAUCUGCCCUUAGGACGAGAACAACCCCGGGAAACUGGGGCUAACUCUCGAUAGGCGAAGAACACUGGAAUGUGUCUUCACCCAAAUAGUGCAAGGUAAUGCUCUUUGCAUCGCCUAAGGAUGAGGCCGCGGCCGAUCAGGUUGUUGGUGAGGUAAUGGCUCACCAAGCCUUUUACCGGUGCGGGCCGUGGGAGCGGGAGCCCGGAGAUGGGUACUGAGACAAGGACCCAGGCCCUACGGGGCGCAGCAGUCGCGAAAACUUUGCAAUAGGCGAAAGCCUGACAGGGCUAUCCCGAGUGCCAUCCGCUGAGGAAGGCUUUUACCCAGUCUAGAACGCUGGGGGAAUAAGGAGAGGGCAAGUCUGGUGUCAGCCGCCGCGGUAAUACCAGCUCUCCGAGUGGUGUGGAUGUUUAUUGGGCCUAAAGCAUCCGUAGCUGGCUAAGUUAGUCCCUUGUUAAAUCCACCGAAUUAAUCGUUGGAUUGCGGGGGAUACUGCUUGGCUAGGGGACGAGAGAGGCAGACGGUAUUUUCGGGGUAGGGGUGAAAUCCUAUAAUCCCGGGAAGACCACCAGUGGCGAAGGCUGUCUGCUAGAACGCGCCCGACGGUGAGGGAUGAAAGCUGGGGGAGCGAACCGGAUUAGAUACCCGGGUAGUCCCAGCUGUAAACGAUGCAGGCUAGGUGUUUAGACGGCCACGUGCCGUUCUAGUGCCGCAGGGAAGCUGUUAAGCCUGCCGCCUGGGGAGUACGAUCGCAAGAUUGAAACUUAAAGGAAUUGGCGGGGGAGCAC
Molecule: ribosomal RNA, 809 nt
Filed under: uncultured archaeon
Lineage: Archaea
Description: bacterial SSU rRNA
Rfam family: Archaeal small subunit ribosomal RNA
Source: RNAcentral